UUCAAGAAGCACAAGCUGGUCAAAGCCACCGCACAACUACAGGAGAAGAUCUGCUCUCAUCAUGACAAACUGCUGGAGGUUUACUGUCGUACCAAUCAGGCCAUGAUACAGUGUCAGCUCGAGCAGAGAGGACUGAGAAACUGAGGCAGCUGAGGAUGAGUCAGCAGAAGGUCCAGCAGAGAUUCCAGGAGAGAGAGAAGGAGCUGAAGGAGCUCCAAAAGGUUGUGAAGUCUCUCAAGGAGGGGGUGACAAGGGCCUCAGCCAGACCCAGUAGGAUGUACUGGGGAGCCAGCUGGAUGCAGGCCAUGGAGGACACCUGGAGCACCUUCCCUGACAGGGCCUGCUCCGUCAGAGGAUAGCCCUUCCUGUGGACCUCAGACAGGCCCUCCACCAGGACAGACAGGCCCGCUACCAGGACAGACAGGGACGCACUCAUGACCCAGUGCUGGGAGAGGAGA
Long non-coding RNA from Oncorhynchus gorbuscha (pink salmon), 458 nucleotides. RefSeq lists it as uncharacterized. The record is from RefSeq and is a predicted model, not a curated record. NCBI's taxonomy places the organism in Eukaryota, Metazoa, Chordata, Actinopteri, Salmoniformes, Salmonidae. The transcript has 3 exons.